CGAAGGGGGCGAGCGUUGUUCGGAAUUAUUGGGCGUAAAGGGAGCGUAGGCGGUUCGAUAAGUCACUUGUGAAAUCUCUGGGCUCAACUCAGAGUCUGCAAGCGAAACUGUCGGGCUUGAGUAUGGGAGAGGUGAGUGGAAUUCCUGGUGUAGCGGUGAAAUGCGUAGAUAUCAGGAGGAACACCUGUGGCGAAAGCGGCUCACUGGACCAUUACUGACGCUGAUGCUCGAAAGCUAGGGGAGCAAGCAGGAUUAGAUACCCUGGUAGUCCUAGCCCUAAACGAUGAUUGCUUGGUGUGGUGGGUACCCAAUCCCACUGUGCCGAAGCUAACGCGAUAAGCAAUCCGCCUGGGGAGUACGGUCGCAAGGCUG
RNAcentral lists this ribosomal RNA (372 nucleotides) under uncultured organism. Its description in RNAcentral is "bacterial SSU rRNA". It matches the Rfam family "Bacterial small subunit ribosomal RNA", at positions 526 to 896 of the family's 1533-position model. The record is from RNAcentral.